CCUACGGGGGGCAGCAGUCGAGAAUCAUUCACAAUGGGGGAAACCCUGAUGGUGCGACGCCGCGUGGGGGAAUGAAGGUCUUCGGAUUGUAAACCCCUGUCAUGUGGGAGCAAAUUAAAAAGAUAGUACCACAAGAGGAAGAGACGGCUAACUCUGUGCCAGCAGCCGCGGUAAUACAGAGGUCUCAAGCGUUGUUCGGAAUCACUGGGCGUAAAGCGUGCGUAGGCUGUUUCGUAAGUCGGGUGUGAAAGGCGCGGGCUCAACCCGCGGACGGCACAUGAUACUGCGAGACUAGAGUAAGGGAGGGGGAACCGGAAUGCUCGGUGUAGCAGUGAAAUGCGUAGAUAUCGAGAGGAACACUCGUGGCGAAGGCGGGUUCCUGGACAUUAACUGACGCUGAGGCACGAAGGCCAGGGGAGCGAAAGGGAUUAGAUACCCGAGUAGUC
RNAcentral lists this ribosomal RNA (446 nucleotides) under uncultured bacterium. Its description in RNAcentral is "partial 16S ribosomal RNA". It matches the Rfam family "Bacterial small subunit ribosomal RNA", at positions 338 to 795 of the family's 1533-position model. The record is from RNAcentral.